This 443-nucleotide ribosomal RNA is filed under the name uncultured bacterium. RNAcentral describes it as "bacterial SSU rRNA". It matches the Rfam family "Bacterial small subunit ribosomal RNA", at positions 1 to 406 of the family's 1533-position model. The record is from RNAcentral.
GAAUCCAGCUCGGUACUCCGAAUGCAUCUAUGAUUAGAGUUUGAUCAUGGCUCAGAUUGAACGCUGGCGGCAGGCCUAACACAUGCAAGUCGAGCGGAUGACGGGAGCUUGCUCCUUGAUUCAGCGGCGGACGGGUGAGUAAUGCCUAGGAAUCUGCCUGGUAGUGGGGGACAACGUUUCGAAAGGAACGCUAAGUACCGCAUACGUCCUACGGGAGAAAGCAGGGGACCUUCGGGCCUUGCGCUAUCAGAUGAGCCUAGGUCGGAUUAGCUAGUUGGUGAGGUAAUGGUUCACCAAUGGGCGACGAUCCGUAACUGGUCUGAGAGGAUNAUCAGUCACUACUGGAACUGAGACACGGGUCCAGGACUCCUACGGGAGUGCAGCAGUGGGGAAUAUUUGGACAAGUAGGGCGAAAUGCCUGAUCCAGGCCAUGCCUGCUGUGU